This 254-nucleotide ribosomal RNA is filed under the name uncultured bacterium. Its description in RNAcentral is "partial 16S ribosomal RNA". It matches the Rfam family "Bacterial small subunit ribosomal RNA", at positions 524 to 776 of the family's 1533-position model. The record is from RNAcentral.
UACAGAGGGUGCGAGCGUUGUUCGGAAUUACUGGGCGUAAAGCGCGCGCAGGCGGCCUUUUAAGUCCGACGGUGAAAUGCCGGGGCUCAACCCCGUGCCCGCCGCGGAUACUGGGAGGCUGGAGACGAGUAGAGGCAAGCGGAAUUCCGGGUGUAGCGGUGGAAUGCGUAGAUAUUGGGAGGAACACCAGUGGCGAAGGCGGCUCACUGGACCGGAACUGACGCUGAGGCGCGAAAGCGUGGGGAGCAAACAGG